GUGCCCAUAGCUCAAUUGGAUAGAGUAUUUGGCUACGGACCAAAAGGUUGGGGGUUCGACUCCUCCUGGGCACGCCA
This 77-nucleotide transfer RNA is filed under the name Candidatus Auribacterota bacterium. RNAcentral's name for it is "tRNA-Arg". It matches the Rfam family "tRNA". Rfam says of the family: Transfer RNA (tRNA) molecules are approximately 80 nucleotides in length. Their secondary structure includes four short double-helical elements and three loops (D, anti-codon, and T loops). Lineage: Bacteria; Pseudomonadati; Candidatus Auribacterota. The record is from RNAcentral.